AAGUCCGUACGAGCGCAACCCUGUCCUUAGUUACCAGCACGUUAUGGUGGGCACUCUAAGGAGACUGCCGGUGACAAACCGGAGGAAGUGGGGAUGACGUCAAGUCAUCAUGGCCCUUACGGCCUGGGCUACACACGUGCUACAAUGGUCGGUACAAAGGGUUGCCAAGCCGCGAGGUGGAGCUAAUCCCAUAAAACCGAUCGUAGUCCGGAUCGCAGUCUGCAACUCGACUGCGUGAAGUCGGAAUCGCUAGUAAUCGUGAAUCAGAAUGUCACGGUGAAUACGUUCCCGGGCCUU
This 297-nucleotide ribosomal RNA is filed under the name uncultured Pseudomonas sp. Its description in RNAcentral is "partial 16S ribosomal RNA". It matches the Rfam family "Bacterial small subunit ribosomal RNA", at positions 1082 to 1382 of the family's 1533-position model. The record is from RNAcentral. Lineage: Bacteria; Pseudomonadati; Pseudomonadota; Gammaproteobacteria; Pseudomonadales; Pseudomonadaceae.